GUUUGUUACAUAAUUUUGAUAUCAAAAUGACAAACAUUUUUUUUGUGAAUACAGUUGAUGAAUGAUCCUUUUAUUUCUGACAUUGUAAACAAUCUAAUUGAAUCUAUGUGUCAUCUAUGUUAUUUCAAGUUAAAUGGAGACAUUCCAAAGGAGUAAUAUUUCAUGAAAAUAAAACAUACUAUUAUAGCUGAAUAUCAUCUUACUUAUAAACUAAGUUAUCUUACGUAUUAAUUUUUGGGUAUCAAUUACAUUCAUACUCCUCAGAUGAUGUAAACUAGAGAACAUUUGGCUGACAAAUACCCAAAUAUUGGAAAGCUUGUGGUAUACAUUUAUUUUGAAAACAGCAAAAUAAACGCGUGGAACAACUUCAGAUUCACAACCUAUGUAUAACAUCUAUUAUAUGUAUGUAUAAGGGCCAAAUUACAGUAAUUGUGUACGAGGACUAAUUAUAAGCCAGGCCAACUCUCUUCAAGACUAGACCAGUUUUUUGCAUCAGACAAUAUUAUUUUCCACUGUUGUCGAUAAACGCAUAGGUAAUAUGUAGAUACCUACUCACUACUCAGUUUCACGCGCGGUUAUCUCUGAAUCAAAAACCAGCAUCGGAUAGAGUUAAAACAAAUUGAGUCGUCUAAAAGAAGAAAAAAAUGAGAAUUCCGACCAUACGCAUACAAGACAAUUUUUCAAAUCGAUUGUAAUUAGUAAGUAGUCAUCGUGUCGAUCGUAUGGAUAGAUAAAUAACGUUUACAAUAGAGCGAACGACGCCGCUGAAUGAACAGGACGACAUGGUGAAUACCAGACGAUUUCUUCCGAAACACAGUACUGAUCCUUAUCAUAAUAUUAACAGUGAUUGGGUGUAUGCAAAUGAGCUCUUGUCUUGACCGUUAUGUUUUAAUGUGCAGAGACUAGACUUUUGAGCGUC
Myzus persicae (green peach aphid) is the source of this 919-nucleotide long non-coding RNA. RefSeq lists it as uncharacterized. Lineage: Eukaryota; Metazoa; Arthropoda; Insecta; Hemiptera; Aphididae. The record is from RefSeq and is a predicted model, not a curated record. The transcript is spliced from 6 exons.